CUUCACUCACAUGCCUAGGUACAAAAAGCUUUACUACCUACUUACUUUGGUUGAUAAUUUUACAGGUUGGGUACAAUCCUUCCCUACAUCUAGGGAAAUUGCUGACACCAUUGUCUCCAUCCUCAUUGAGGAGAUCAUUCCCAGGUUUGGACUUCCCAACACCAUCCAGUCAGACAAUGGUCCAGCCUUCACUUCUCAGAUUUUUCAACCAGUCUCCAAAGGCCUCAACAUCACUUGGAGGCUCCACAUCCCCCACCAACCCCUAUUCUCAUUUUCUAUUCCAACCACAGAUGGCAUUUUAACUUCCAAGAAACUUGGCACCAGAUAACAUCACCCACUCUCAAUUUAUGGGUCAAGGCGAUUGCUUUUCACUGGCUAAAAUUGGGCAAACACCCUUAACAUUACUAAAUUCAACCAAGCCACCUCAGAUAAUUCCUAGAGUCCCUACGACAGGACUAAUGGCUGAUACCAAGGAUCUCCUCCACUCAGAAAUGAUUCGAUGCCAUUGACAACCUAUGGCUUCAAGGAAACUUUAUGGACUUUGCCCUUCUGAGAUAACUGUCUAUAGCCACUGGAUGUUAUCUCUAGCUGCCCUGAUAUACCCAAACCUGUUCAUGAACAUUCCACAGCUCUCCCAAGUAGGCCCCAUUUCAGACCCUCUUAGCAGAAAGUAGCCAAACAAUUUUGUGCCAGCCCCCACCCCAUAAUUUAGAAAAACAAAAUGGGAGAAAUUUUAGGUGCAGAACAGCCUGAACUAUGUUCUGCAGGAUAACCCAUGCACUCAAAUACCUUUCUGUCUGGUCUUUUAUCGCCUAUUUGCAUCAAGACUGAAUACUCAACCGCACUCAAGGCUGAACACUUGACCCCCACCUGUCUGGUGCAACAGAAACCCACAUCUUACCCCUGCCCCAUCUUCCUGAAGGCAGAAGAUGACACCCUUAGCAACUAUUGUGCGGUCCAAUCAUUUUCUACCUACAAGGCAGUUUACAGACUCAGAGACCCCAUUAGAAUUUGGCUAUAAAAACUCCCUUGUGCCGGGUCCCCCUAUCUUGCUCUCUCUGUCUCCCUCUCUUGCUUUCACUCUACCUUGCUCUCUCUUUCUUCUCUCUCUCUCUCUCUCUCUCUCUCUCUCUCUCUCUUUCUCUUCUUUGUCAUGGCUGCAAUAAAGCAGUGGUCACUG
Molecule: long non-coding RNA, 1180 nt
Filed under: Marmota monax (woodchuck)
Lineage: Eukaryota; Metazoa; Chordata; Mammalia; Rodentia; Sciuridae
Source: RNAcentral